UUUGGAGGGGGUUACAAAUCAGUUCUUAUCAACAUAUAUCAAACAACCAAAUUACAAAGAUUGUUAUGUUCGAAAAAAGUGAGCCUCCAAGAAGUGCGCACUUCUGUAAAGAACAGAACACUGACAUGCGUCUCUGCAGCGUUGAAGUCGAGUACUUCAAAAAGUACAAAGCUCACUGCCAAGUAGUGGGCUGGUUGGGGAUAACAAACUGAAGUCCGUGGGCUUUGGAUGGUAUCUGCAAAACGAUACAAGUUUUCUCAAAGUGACGCACAAGAGUCUCAUCUGGACAAAAAUCCUCCCUAAAUCCUUCAAUAUAAUACAUGUAUAACAG
Long non-coding RNA from Acanthaster planci (crown-of-thorns starfish), 331 nucleotides. RefSeq lists it as uncharacterized. The record is from RefSeq and is a predicted model, not a curated record. NCBI's taxonomy places the organism in Eukaryota, Metazoa, Echinodermata, Asteroidea, Valvatida, Acanthasteridae.